RNAcentral lists this ribosomal RNA (592 nucleotides) under uncultured bacterium. Its description in RNAcentral is "bacterial SSU rRNA". It matches the Rfam family "Bacterial small subunit ribosomal RNA", at positions 338 to 920 of the family's 1533-position model. The record is from RNAcentral.
CCUACGGGAGGCAGCAGUAGGGAAUCUUCCGCAAUGGACGAAAGUCUGACGGAGCAACGCCGCGUGAGUGAUGAAGGCUUUCGGGUCGUAAAGCUCUGUUGUUAGGGAAGAACAAGUGCUAGUUGAAUAAGCUGGCACCUUGACGGUACCUAACCAGAAAGCCACGGCUAACUACGUGCCAGCAGCCGCGGUAAUACGUAGGUGGCAAGCGUUGUCCGGAAUUAUUGGGCGUAAAGCGCGCGCAGGCGGUUUCUUAAGUCUGAUGUGAAAGCCCCCGGCUCAACCGGGGAGGGUCAUUGGAAACUGGGAAACUUGAGUGCAGAAGAGGAAAGUGGAAUUCCAAGUGUAGCGGUGAAAUGCGUAGAGAUUUGGAGGAACACCAGUGGCGAAGGCGACUUUCUGGUCUGUAACUGACGCUGAGGCGCGAAAGCGUGGGGAGCAAACAGGAUUAGAUACCCUGGUAGUCCACGCUGUAAACGAUGAGUGCUAAGUGUUAGAGGGUUUCCGCCCUUUAGUGCUGAAGUUAACGCAUUAAGCACUCCGCCUGGGGAGUACGGCCGCAAGGCUGAAACUCAAAGGAAUUGACAAUCGG